UUAUUUACAAUUCUAUUUCGACUGCAACUCUCUACAUCAAUGAUCAAACUAUAAAUAAUAAAUAAUUUCUGUCUCCCUCCCUCUAGGGUUCUUCAACUCCUUCUUCAUCCAUCUUAGAUUCAUUCAUUCUGAGAUUUGAUUCAUCUGCUUUUUAUUUGUUUGUGGCUAUGGAUUCUACGAUUUUGGCUCCCGAAUUAAUUAAUUAGGUUUUGGCCGUACAUCUGAUUUGAUGUUGGAUCAUCAUCCAAUUCUCCGACGUGGUUUCGGAUCGACGCUGUUGAUCGCUUUCGAUUUUUCAUCGGAUUGAGGUAUAUUUUUAAUUAAUACAUCUCCUCGAUCGGUAGUUUGCGUUAUUAUUAUUAUAUAUUAAUUGCGCGUUCCAUGCAUAUCUGAUUUUGAUCUAUGUUUGUUCUGAAAGAGUACUGAUCUAUGGAAGAGGAUGAAAUCAGAAUAUAUGGAUUCCGUACGUUUAAUAGAAGCUAAGAAUCUUCCCAGUUCUUGAGGUGAUUUGUCAUAUGAUAUACUUAUUUUUAUCUGAUAUAUUGGUUUGGUUCUUAUAGUUGUUGGAUUAUAUGUUGACAUGAUUGGUAACCUUUUAAUAAUCCUCGAUCGAUCGUCAUUCAGGUAUAUAGAUAUCCAGUUAAUCGGAUUAGCCGAUGGUGAUUGUUCGUUAGUAGUUUCCGAAUGCGGAAUGCUUGUGUUGCGUUGCAUUAUUCACAGGCGAGAUUGUAUAGUCUUGAUAGUUAUGUAAAGGAAAGAGAGUGAGUCACGAGAUUCUUGAUAAAAUAGAAUAUAUGAUUAAUCAUGCUGAUGAUUCAGUUUGUCUACCCUAUCGACCUUUGCCAUGAAGGGUGCGCUCGCAUGGCAGGUCACCAAAUCAAUAAAAGUAUCAUUUUUGGUGUUGGAGGGGAUACAUGGCCCGGCUCUCCCCUCCGGGUGUGUGUGUGUGUUGUCUUCUUUCCUUCCCUUUCUUCUUACCGCCAUGGCAACACUUCUCAGAAUUCAAUCGUAAAAAAGUAAAAAAAUAGUACCCAAACAAAUGUAAUGUCUGCUGAGUUAAUUCAGCGUGAUGGAGUCUUAACCAACACAUUCCACCCCAAGUUUGAAUAUUCGUUUGAUCAACGACAGAGCAACCGACUUAUUAUACAUUUUGUUAAACAAGCAAGAUUCAAAUUUCCAGUUCGUUGUUUGACGGAAACUUUGUGGUUGUAUGAUUACCUAGUUUGGAGCCAAAAGGCAUGAUGGUGUUUGUAAUAGUAGAGAGACGUAGAUUCUGAUUGUAUUUAGUGUUAGUUUGGAGCCCGUGCUCGUGGUUUCCGAUCGAGAGCUUGAUGAUGUGGCAGCUUGUUCUAAUUACAUGCUGCUGACGAUCGAAGAUUCUGCAUGCCUAUGCUAUAAUGUUGGAGAAGAAGAUUCUGUCCGGUAGCUGUUUUCAGAGGUAUGUUCUCAAUCCAGAGUGUUAGAAUUUUUUAACUUUCGCAUGUGCAUUGUCCUCGAAGUUGAAGCUUUAACUGCAUAUUUGAAUUGCAUACAGAUGUUCGAUUAUGAGUUAACGAGCUGGCUAAUUAUUAACUACUUUUUGGUUCAGGGCGUGUUCAAUUGAAGUAUUAUUAGCUGAUGGCGAUGGUUGUUGAAGUGAAGUCUCGGCAAUGGUUGAAGAAGCUUCUAGAGCAUGUAACUAGGUAUUUUCUUGUAUAAUUUUAACGAGAGAGAGAGAGACUCUUAUGGUAGUCUCUACCGAUCGACCUUUGCCAUGAUGGGUGCGCUCGCAUGGCAGGUCACCGCAUCAAUAAAAAUAAAAUUAUUAUUAGCUGAUGCCGAUGGUUGUUGAAGUGAAGUCUCGACAAUGGUUGAAGAAGCUUCUAGAGCAUGUAACUAGGUAUUUUCUUGUAUAAUUUCAACGAGAGAGAGAGAGAGACUCUUAUGGUUGUCUCUACCGAUCGACCUUUGCCAUGAAGGGUGCGCUCGCAUGGCAGGUCACCGCAUCAAUAAAAAUAAAAAUAUUAUUAGCUGAUGGCGAUGGUUGUUGAAGUGAAGUCUCGACAAUGGUUGAAGAAGUUUCUAGAGCAUGUAACUAGGUAUUUUCUUUUAUAAUUUUAACGAGAGAGAGAGAGAGAGAGACUCUUAUUGUUGUCUCUACCGAUCGACCUUUGCCAUGAAGGGUGCGCUCGCAUGGCAGGUCACUGCAUCAAUAAAAAUUUUAUUAGCUGAUGGCGAUGGUUGUUGAAGUGAAGUCUCGACAAUGGUUGAAGAAGCUUUUAGAGCAUGUAACUAGGUAUUUUCUUGUAUAAUUUUUUAGAGAGAGAGAGAGAGAGAGAGAGAGAGAGAGAGAGAGACUCUUAUUGUUGUCUCUACCGAUCGACCUUUGCCAUGAAGGGUGCGCUCGCAUGGCAGGUCACCGCAUCAAUAAAAAUAAAAAUAUUAUUAGCUGAUGGCGAUGGUUGUUGAAGUGAAGUCUCGACAAUGGUUGAAGAAGCUUCUAGAGCAUGUAACUAGGUAUUUUCUUGUAUAAUUUUUUAUAGAGAGAGAGAGACUCGUAUGGUUGUCUCUACCGAUCGACCUUUGCCAUGAAGGGUGCGCUCGCAUGGCAGGUCACCGCAUCAAUAAAAAUAUUUUUAGCUGAUGGCGAUGGUUGUUGAAGUGAAGUCUCGACAAUGGUUGAAGAAGCUUUUAGAGCAUGUAACUAGGUAUUUUCUUGUAUAAUUUUAUCGAGAGAGAGAGAGAGAGAGAGAGAGAGAGAGAGAGAGAGUCUUAUGCUUGUCUCUAGCGAUCGACCUUUGCCAUGAAGGGUGCGCUCGCAUGGCAGGUCACGGCAUCAAUAAAAAUAUUAUUAGCUGAUGGCGAUGGUUGUUGAAGUGAAGUCUCGACAAUGGUUGAAGAAGCUUCUAGAGCAUUUAACUAGGUAUUUUCUUAGAGAGAGAGAGAGAGAGAGAGAGAGAGAGAGAGAGAGAGAGAGAGAGAGAGAGAGAGAGAGAGAGAGAGAGAGAGAGACUCUUAUGGUUGUCUCUACCGAUCGACCUUUGCCAUGAAGGGUGCGCUCGCAUGGCAGGUCCCCGCAUUAAUAAAACAUUAUUUUGUGUCGGUGGGGAGAUGGCACAGGCGAUUGCUCGGCUCUAUCCUCUGAGUGUGUCGUUUCCCUUUUUUUCCUUCUUUUUUUUCCCCACUCUGUCUUGUGUUAUUGGCGGCACUUCAAUUAUAAUUUAUUUAAUUUAUUUCGAUGGAAUCUAUAAAAUAAAAAUUUAGACUGGUUAUUCUUCGUUCGACUACAUUUAUUUAUUGUAAUUUUUUUUUCUAAUGUAGACUCUGGUUAAUUAUAUCAUUGGAGCCGGACCUAUUUAGUGUUAGAUUGAAGCCCGUGCUCGUGGUUUCCGAUCGAGAGCCUGAUGAUGUGGCAGCUUGUGCUUACGUGUGCUGGUGGCGAUUGAAGAUUCUGCUAUGCCAUUAUGCUGGAGAAGAGAUUCUGUUCGGUAGUUGUUUUCAGAGGUAUGUUCUCAAUCCGGAGUGUUAGAUUUUUGAAUUUUCGCAUGUGCAUUGUCCUCGAAGUUGAAGCUUUGACUGCGUAUUUGAAAUUGCAUAUAAGAUGUUCGAUUAUGAGUUCACGAGCUGACUAAUUAUUAAUUAAGUUUUGGUUCAGGUGUGGUACGUGUUCAAUUAAAGUAUUAUUAGCUGAUGGCGAUGGUUGUUGAAGCGAAGUCUCGACAAUGGUUGAAGAAGCUUCUAGAGCAUGUAACUAGGUAUUUUUCUUGUAUAAUUUUAACGAGAAGAGAGAGAGAGAGAGACCGAUAGAGAGAUAGAGAAGUUUGGGGAGAGAGAGAGAGAUAGAGAGAGAGAGAGACUCGUAUGGUUGUCUCUACGAUCGACCUUUGCCAUGAACUCGCAUGGCAGGUCACCGCAUUAAUAAAAUAUUAUUUUUUGUGUCGGAGGGGAGAUGGCACAGGCGAUUUGCUCGGCUCUCUCCUGAGUGUGUCGUUCCCUUUUUUUAUUUUUUUCGCUCCGUCUUAUGUUAAUGGCGGCACUUCAAUUGUAAUUUAUUUCGAUGGAAUCUAUAAAAUAAAAAUUAGACUGGUUACUCUUCCUUCGACUCUGUUGGAGCAGAUGUAUUCAUCUUACAUUUAUUUAUUAGGUUAAAUUACAAAUACCCCCCUGAG
Molecule: long non-coding RNA, 4148 nt
Filed under: Erythranthe guttata (spotted monkey flower)
Lineage: Eukaryota; Viridiplantae; Streptophyta; Magnoliopsida; Lamiales; Phrymaceae
Description: long non-coding RNA (EGUT_LNC000152)
Source: RNAcentral